Molecule: long non-coding RNA, 921 nt
Organism: Capsicum annuum
Lineage: Eukaryota; Viridiplantae; Streptophyta; Magnoliopsida; Solanales; Solanaceae
Exons: 3
Source: RefSeq, a predicted model, not a curated record
UUCAUCUUCUUAGUUGAAAAAUCUGGGUUUCAUAGUUAACAUUCAUCUUCUAUUACAAAAAAUACGAAACUGAUAUAUUUGUUUUCUGCAUUCUCUAUUGUGUAUUAUGUCUAAACCAAAAUUCGAUUCUACUCCUUCACGUAGAAGUCCUAGAAUAAUUGAAAAUAGUAGUCCCAUUCAACUUUCUAGACCUUCGUUUAAUUUAGGUUGUUCCACUCCUUCUCCUCUAUCAAAUUGUAAAAAAAAGUUGUUGAAAGUGGUCUUACAACAAGAAUCAAAAUCAGUGUUUGCCUGACAAAAUUGAAGUCCCCUUUAUUCAUGAACCAUCGAAGAAGCUAAAUUUGAACAAAAAGGUUGUUAUUCCUCAAGAUAAGAGGAAUUAUAAGAGAAAGAAUUUGGAUAGUGAACAAGUGUUGGACUCCGAUUUUGAGGAUGAGAUUUCAUUACUCAAACCCAAAAAAUUCAAGUGUGAAAGAGAAGCACCUUCUCGAGUAACAAGGGCUAGGGCUAAAGAAAAAAAAUGCAAAAAAUGUGUCCAACAAGAAUUCUCGAAAAGUUUGCAAGGAGCGAAAAACAUACAGUCAUUGGGCAUCGUACAUCAAGGUUGAUGUUUUCGAUGAUCUUAUGUUAAGAUGGAAAAAGAAGCACUUUGAAAGGUCAUCGGAGGAUCUCAUUUUUAAUAAGUAUUUGAAGACAACAAUGUUUAAGCGUGAUAGCAACGAGGUAAUCUCAACUACACUACUAUAUAUUAGCUUUAAUUCUAAAUCAAUAUCUAUUUCAUUCUCAUUUUACACUUGUUAUCUAUUUAAACUAACUCAUUUUUUUUUAUACUAGUAUCAAUUCAAAGAUAUUGUCUUUACCGAUGAGGAAAUGGUAAAGUACAAUCUUCUUGCCAUACAUCAAGAUAGUUUUCAUCAAGAG